Sus scrofa (pig) is the source of this 1245-nucleotide long non-coding RNA. RefSeq lists it as uncharacterized. The record is from RefSeq and is a predicted model, not a curated record. NCBI's taxonomy places the organism in Eukaryota, Metazoa, Chordata, Mammalia, Artiodactyla, Suidae.
AGGGAAAAACAGCCAGUGAGGAGAGGGAGGCAGGCCCGAGGCCCCGAGGCCAAGCCUGAGUCAGGGGUCCCCACCCCAGGAAGCCUGGUCCUGCAGCAUGGCCUUUUCACUGGGAAAAGGGAGCCACAUGAGGCCCAGAUUCCACUGCCCUUAGUCAAGUCACCAGUGACCUCUGGCACCAAGGCCAGCCCAAGCGACCACUGUCUCCCCAUACAAGGACCACCCACCCCAGCUCCCCGGCCCAAGUCAGGCAAUUUCAGGAAACCUGCAUCAGGGCCCAGGGGCCUGAUUCUAAGUCCCACUGUGAACGACCCUGCUGUAGGGGGCAUGGCUGGACCCUAACACACUUCCCCGCCUGGGCGCCCAGAGCUGGCCCCUCCCCGUGCAGCCUGCACCGCCCGCCUGGCUGCUCUUUCUCACCCCUCCCUGGAGUGUACUGGCCAGUAGGGAGCAUCCUUAUUCUGAUCUCCAACCCCCACCGAAGCUUAUCUGUUGGUGUCACUGGCCCCAUUUCCACAUAAAGGAACAGAGGCUCAGAGAGGUAAAGUGACCCAGUGAGGAAGGGGGAGAGUUGGGGUUCAAAUCCCAGCCUUCCUGCUCCGACAUCUCCUCCACCCGGCCCAGGCCGUGUUCUGACUCCUUUGGGCCUCAGUGUUACCACCCAGGGAAGUGGAUCCAGGGUAAAUACCAACCUUCCGACAGGGAUAAAGAGGUAGAAAAUGGCCAGCACGCAGGUCCGCUGGUCCCUGACGAAGAGGUCUCCCAGGACGGUGGGCGCAAUGGUGGAGUAGCUGGCUGUGCCAAUGCCUACCACUCCCCGGGACAGGAAGAAAAGCCAGGCGUGCUGGGCAAACGGGCACAAGACCACACAUCAGCCCAACAGUGGAAAAGCCAACAGCACCCUCCAAGGCUGUGUAAAUAUGAAGCAGAAGUGAACACAGGGCCAGUAUGGAGCUGCCAGUGCCCCGUAUUUACAAGAAUUCCCGCCCCCUUAAACGCUUAUGAACUGGCGACUGGAUUUAACGAAUGCGUUUGCUAUUCCGCGAAGACAAAGAAACUGCCACGUUUUUGCUGGACUGUAUGUACCACGUGGAUAGGUACCCUCACUGCUCCGGUUCCUCACAGAAAAACGCCUCCACCCUCCUCUGUGCGUCUGCAGCCUCCGAGAGCUGGCAGGUGGCGAGGGCAAAGUCUGACCCUGCGCCCCCACCCCGGUCCCACCCCCCAAGAGCCUUAGGCUUUGGA